AGGUCACUGAUAGAAAUAAUGUAAUGGCUUCAAGCCUCGGUUCAAGCUAAUUUAAUAACGCAUAAAAUCAUUUUCCGAAUCGAGAUAAAAUCUAUGUCGUGAUCGAUCGCCUCAGUUGCCUUCGUCCUUGAUAAAAAUAUUAUUUUACACUCUGAAUAAUAAUCUCAAUCCAAGGAUUUAGAAAAAUCAUAAUAAGGUGAUUCCAAUCGUAUUACACUUUCGUUAAGCAGAAUUAAAUCCACGAUAAAAUAAUCGUAACGAUAAGGCAUUAUUGACAUGGGAAAUCCCAAGUUCCUACUAAUCUAGUCCGGACUAACCUAUUUUACAUGGUUAUUCUUCCUCUUGUCACGUGGCCUGCCGUGUGAAUAGUGUCGUGUGAAAUGGCUUUAAUAUCAUUUAGAAUUCCCAUAAAAAUUAUAAAACGGAAUAAUCAACAAGCAGAUGUCAUAUUCAGCACAAACAGAUCAACUGUCAAAAUGACAAUGCGCAUAUGUAACGUUCAAAGAUUCCUGGAAUAAAGUGCUUUUCUAUGAGCAAGCAUCCAGCACCCACGUUCCCUCCAACCCUCAGAUCUCGAGUGACCUCGCAAUGGACGCUGACUCUUCUAUAGACUUUAAAGUAAUGUAGGUCAGCUGACUUGGCUCAGGGCGUUAAAACAAUGCGGAUAUCCGCAGCCACCUUUGCGAUAUUCACUCUCAGACUUUGUCGACGAAGGAAGACGAAGCACCUGAAGCUGGUCGAAUAUAUUUGAAAGGAUCAACAUUCUUGCCUUUGGCGUUACGUAAAGUCUGAUUAUAUCUUCUAGAGGCAGUGUACAGCAACAACGGGAAAUCAGCUUCUCAUGGUUAUUACGCUCAGUACCAAUGACUGAUAUUGGCUAAUGGAGAUGAAGUGACGAAGAUUCCAGGAACGAGGAGGAGUAAAAAGAAAAAAGGAACAUCGAGGGAAGUCGUAAAGCGAGGAAAUAAGGAAAUGAAGGUGGAGAGAAGCGAGGAUGGUUGAAAGGCAGGGGAGAAUGAGUCGGUUUAGAGUGACUAUUUCUCUUUCUCUUUUUUUUAUCCGUUUCUUUUCCUCGCUCGGUCUCGUGGGAAAUUAAGUAUUGUCGAGGGAGAAUUCUCGGGUGCGAGGAAUUACCGGAAAAUCAUGGAAAAAUACACGCUGCUUUAUUUGCUAGUCUCGUUCCACCGUUACUCGGUCUGUAUGAAUUUCUGUAUGCCCGCGCAUGCGCGUGAUAUCUUUUGUAUAAAAUAAUAAAAGAGAGGAAAUAAGGGGAAAAAAUAUAAACCAGAUAGUCACUUGCAUCGUAAUUUUAAUCUGUCCAUCUUCUUUUUUAUUCAAAAAAAAAAUAUCUGGUCUUCGUUUUAGGCGAUAACUAAAUAAAUACAGUUAUCGCUUACGAGCACGCUGCAACGUGAUAUUCGAGGAUAAAAAUAGAAAAUAAACAUGCACUCACGAGCCUCUCAGGGAAUACCGAUGUAAUCGAUCAAGGUAAACCAGGAAAUCAACUGGAAUUUAUUUUACACGCAUUGUAAAAGACGAAAUAAUACCGUUUAAUAUUUCGUAUUUGAAACGGCGCCGUUUCGCGCAUGCGCGCGCACUACUUCGCUACGAGACGUCUCGUUCCUGCCUUACCGUCAAUUCACGUAACUGUUAGGUUAGGUUCAAGGACGGGAAAAGGGAUCCUGGGCCGAACGUCUUUUAUUUCCUAGUGAAACGAUAAUCACGUCCGUCAAACACUUUUGCGUCGGUUAAGUCACGUGAAAUAACAGAGAUUAUACAUUUCAGUCUAUACGCUUCACAAGUACUGUGUUUUAGACAGCACGUCAGAGAUUGCAUAGUGCAUGACAAGUGGGCUGGACGACUAAAUGGAUAAUGCUGGAGGAAGCACAAUUCUAUAUUACGCGCAUAACAACAGACUUUGAUUGUCCCUGACUUUAAAACGUUUCGAACGCGCCCUGAAUCAGCAACAUUCUUUUGUUACGUUUGUACUUCACGUCAAUGAGUAUACAGCCUGACUGAGUGUUAAUGCAGGUAAGUGACAAGAAAUAAUAGAGACAAAACGAGCAAGUGACAUCAGCUCGCCGAUAGUUUGAUUGUAGUGCAAUCGUUAGAAUGCUGUUGGAUUUGCAACGGUAGAUGAAAUAAAUAAAUACAAAAACAAGAUAAACAAAUGAAUUAAGAAAACUGCAUUAGCAAAUACCAAAGGAUACGUACAGGUAUUGCAAAAACUUAUAAUUCCUCAAAACCGCCUGCGUCGCAUGACGGAGAAAAAUAAGAAAUCACGUGGCAGAAAUCAACAGGAUGACGAACUGUUCCCGCAAUUUUCAUGGAAUCCCAACGGAAGCCUCGAUAUACCGCAAGCAAGAUAACAGGAGGAAGUAGGCAGUGGGAGGUGCAACGUAAUAUUUAAUUAACCGGAAAAUCAUUACAGUAAUUUCCAAAAGCUGGAACAUACUUUACGCGUUAUCUAACAGUCAUAUAUUCAUUAGUAAUUAACCAUGACGAGGUUAGGUUAGAAAUUAUAUAUAUCGAUAUACUUGAUGACGAACGAUAUAUAGGAAUCUCGGUAUUCAAUAAUUAAAAAUAAUCAAAAAGCAACUCCCAAGGCUUUUCACAGACACGUCUGCAGAGGGAGAAUAUGCGUACGUAUGUGUAAAAAAUAUGGAGUGAGACCAGAGUCUAUUAAUCAAAGAGCAAGUCGUUAAAAUAAUUAUUAGCAAUCGAAACGCGCUUCGUUAACGUCCCUUCUGCUUGUUACAUCAAAUAGUUCUUUUAACUCACCCAUCAUACAGGGUGUACUAAAACAAGUGUGAAUGUGCAAGGAUUUUUUAAUACAAUUUUUAUGUUAACCCUUUUGCAGUAAGACAAAACUUAUACAAUUCGUGUUUGAAAAAAUUGCAAAAACAAUUCAUUAAAUAUUCAUGACGUUCUUAACGCUGAAAUACAUUUUUAUUAAGAAAAAUAUAUUUUCGGAAUUAUAUAUGUACACAACGUUCACGCUGGUGACACAUUUUUGUUUAUACGCGAUCUGUCACACUCAUGACGUUGGGAAACUUAUAAGCAGAAUCUUAACUCGUAUUCAUAAUGUUUAAUUUGUUGUUUAUAUUUUAAUAUAAUUCUUUCAAAAUAUGUCAUACAUUUUGAAACUGCUUACAACGUGGCCGCGCGUUACGUAACGAUUGCACGGCUUCUGUAUGUAGCUGCACUUUAAUUUAUUCAACACGGUCGCCCAGUGGGCAGUGAAAACAACCCUGACUGUGAUAUUGCCGCACAGUUGACAAUUGAUAUACUUAUUUCUACAAUAUGCUCGCGUGCUGGGUACAAGCCGCACUUCAACUUAUACAUGUUACAUGAUGACUCAGUAUCAACUACAUUUCAAGUUUUACAUGGUCUCCCAGUGCACGAGGCUAGUCCUGUAUCUGAUAUGGGAUAAUAAAUGACUUUUUCUGUCAAUGGUGUGUGCUGUAAAUUAUAGAUGUUCAAGAUAAUUUAUAAAUAUUAUUACAAUUGACUUGGAAUUAUCAGACGUGAAUAGUUGUUUUCCUGAGAGUGGCUUUAUGCAAGUGAAUGGUCUGCAUACCUAUAAUUCCAUAACGUGGACGCACGUUAGAUUCCUGUAAUCCUCAUUAGCACUUCUAUAUGAGAGUAUGUCACAUAUGAGUUGUUUUGCUACAUGGUACUAUACUCACUAUAGACGAUACCCAUGGUACGUUCUACCUUGCAAAAGACCGAUAAUCAAGUUGCAAGAUAAACUAACUAUACCGAACGCCGACUGCCGUUACAGUUAGGGUAGUUUUCUAUGGCAUGCGAUACUUACGUAGAAGAAGCGCCAUGCGGCCUGGAUACUACUUGGACCAACCUCCAGCCAGGAUACUUGGAUCCUGAUGGCUUCAGGACGUAACAACCCUCAAUUUGGUCAACACUCCGUCGUCGCAGCACGG
This is a long non-coding RNA of Cephus cinctus (wheat stem sawfly), 3941 nucleotides long. RefSeq lists it as uncharacterized. Lineage: Eukaryota; Metazoa; Arthropoda; Insecta; Hymenoptera; Cephidae. The transcript has 9 exons. The record is from RefSeq and is a predicted model, not a curated record.